Molecule: ribosomal RNA, 255 nt
Filed under: uncultured bacterium
Lineage: Bacteria
Description: partial 16S ribosomal RNA
Rfam family: Bacterial small subunit ribosomal RNA
Source: RNAcentral
GGCUCCUACGGGAGGCAGCAGUGGGGGAUAUUGGACAAUGGGGGAAACCCUGAUCCAGCGACGCCGCGUGAGUGAAGAAGUAUUACGGUAUGUAAAGCUCUAUCAGCAGGGAAGAAAAUGACGGUACCUGACUAAGAAGCCCCGGCUAACUACGUGCCAGCAGCCGCGGUAAUACGUAGGGGGCAAGCGUUAUCCGGAUUUACUGGGUGUAAAGGGAGCGUAGACGGAGCAGCAAGUCUGAUGUGAAAGGUCGGG